RNAcentral lists this ribosomal RNA (255 nucleotides) under uncultured bacterium. RNAcentral describes it as "partial small subunit ribosomal RNA". It matches the Rfam family "Bacterial small subunit ribosomal RNA", at positions 26 to 280 of the family's 1533-position model. The record is from RNAcentral.
AGGACGAACGCUGGCGGCGUGCUUAACACAUGCAAGUCGAACGAACUUCCGCCCUUCGGGACAGAAGUGAGUGGCGAACGGGUGAGUAACACGUGAGCAACCUGCCCUUGACUCUGGAAUAACAGCUGGAAACAGCUGCUAAUACCGGAUACGACCUUCGAUGGCAUCAUCCGAAGGUGGAAAGCUCCGACGGUCAAGGAUGGGCUCGCGGCCUAUCAGCUUGUUGGUGAGGUAACGGCUCACCAAGGCUUCGAC